RNAcentral lists this ribosomal RNA (252 nucleotides) under uncultured bacterium. RNAcentral's name for it is "partial 16S ribosomal RNA". It matches the Rfam family "Bacterial small subunit ribosomal RNA", at positions 525 to 776 of the family's 1533-position model. The record is from RNAcentral.
ACGGGAGUGGCAAGCGUUAUCCGGAAUUAUUGGGCGUAAAGCGUCCGCAGGCGGCCUUGAAAGUCUGUCGUUAAAGCGUGGAGCUUAACUCCAUUUCGGCGGUGGAAACUACAAGGCUUGAGUGUGGUAGGGGCAGAGGGAAUUCCCGGUGUAGCGGUGAAAUGCGUAGAUAUCGGGAAGAACACCAGUGGCGAAGGCGCUCUGCUGGGCCAUAACUGACGCUCAUGGACGAAAGCUAGGGGAGCGAAAGGG